ACGCUCGACACCUACGGGAGGCAGCAGUGAGGAAUAUUGGUCAAUGGGCGCUAGCCUGAACCAGCCAAGUAGCGUGAAGGAUGAAGGCUCUAUGGGUCGUAAACUUCUUUUAUAUAAGAAUAAAGCGCAGUAUGUAUACUGUUUUGUAUGUAUUAUAUGAAUAAGGAUCGGCUAACUCCGUGCCACAGCCGCGGUAAUCUGAGCGGGCUGGCAAGGC
RNAcentral lists this ribosomal RNA (217 nucleotides) under uncultured bacterium. Its description in RNAcentral is "partial 16S ribosomal RNA". It matches the Rfam family "Bacterial small subunit ribosomal RNA", at positions 328 to 539 of the family's 1533-position model. The record is from RNAcentral.